CGGCCGCUAACACAACCACCUCGAGCCAAGAACUAAUACCACUUGAAUCCAUCUCUAUCAACAACUAGAGACAUACCACAACAACUUCAACCCAAUCGAAUAAACUUUCACCACCCGGCACAGGUUCACGUCACAAUCACGCACCUAUAGCCUCAAGGUUAGUCCAUCCUAGACUUCUCUCUUUACUUGCUUGCUCUGUUACUUGAUCUGAUAUCACUCUAUCUGUCACGCCACGCGACCGCCAAUUUGGUCGGUUCGAAUACGUCGAUCAGACGCCGAACGGACAGAGCCUCCUCUGCCGGCCCAA
This 307-nucleotide long non-coding RNA is filed under the name Ananas comosus (pineapple). Its description in RNAcentral is "long non-coding RNA (ACOM_LNC035847)". Lineage: Eukaryota; Viridiplantae; Streptophyta; Magnoliopsida; Poales; Bromeliaceae. The record is from RNAcentral.